GGGCCCGCACAAGCGGUGGAGCAUGUGGUUUAAUUCGAUGCAACGCGAAGAACCUUACCUACUCUUGACAUCCUGCGAAUUUGGUAGAGAUACCUUAGUGCCUUCGGGAACGCAGAGACAGGUGCUGCAUGGCUGUCGUCAGCUCGUGUUGUGAAAUGUUGGUUAAGUCCCGUAACGAGCGCAACCCUUGUCCUUAUUUGCCAGCGCGUAAUGGCGGGAACUCUAAGGAGACUGCCGGUGACAAACCGGAGGAAGGUGGGGACGACGUCAAGUCAUCAUGGCCCUUACGAGUAGGGCUACACACGUGCUACAAUGGUCGGUACAAAGGGUUGCCAACUCGCGAGAGUGAGCC
Molecule: ribosomal RNA, 352 nt
Filed under: uncultured bacterium
Lineage: Bacteria
Description: bacterial SSU rRNA
Rfam family: Bacterial small subunit ribosomal RNA
Source: RNAcentral